GCUGUGAGGCAUGCUGGAGGUAUCAGAAGUGCGAAUGCUGACAUAAGUAACGAUAAAGCGGGUGAAAAGCCCGCUCGCCGGAAGACCAAGGGUUCCUGUCCAACGUUAAUCGGGGCAGGGUGAGUCGACCCCUAAGGCGAGGCCGAAAGGCGUAGUCGAUGGGAAACAGGUUAAUAUUCCUGUACUUGGUGUUACUGCGAAGGGGGGACGGAGAAGGCUAUGUUAGCCGGGCGACGGUUGUCCCGGUUUAAGCAUGUAGGCUGGUUAUCCAGGCAAAUCCGGAUAAUCAAGGCUGAGGUGUGAUGACGAGGCACUACGGUGCUGAAGUAACAAAUGCCCUGCUUCCAGGAAAAGCCUCUAAGCAUCAGGUAACAUCAAAUCGUACCCCAAACCGACACAGGUGGUCAGGUAGAGAAUACCAAGGCGCUUGAGAGAACUCGGGUGAAGGAACUAGGCAAAAUGGUGCCGUAACUUCGGGAGAAGGCACGCUGGUGUGUAGGUGAAGCCCCUGCGGGUGGAGCUGAGACCAGUCGAAGAUACCAGCUGGCUGCAACUGUUUAUUAAAAACACAGCACUGUGCAAACACGAAAGUGGACGUAUACGGUGUGACGCCUGCCCGGUGCCGGAAGGUUAAUUGAUGGGGUUAUCCGUAAGGAGAAGCUCUUGAUCGAAGCCCCGGUAAACGGCGGCCGUAACUAUAACGGUCCUAAGGUAGCGAAAUUCCUUGUCGGGUAAGUUCCGACCUGCACGAAUGGCGUAAUGAUGGCCAGGCUGUCUCCACCCGAGACUCAGUGAAAUUGAACUCGCUGUGAAGAUGCAGUGUACCCGCGGCAAGACGGAAAGACCCCGUGAACCUUUACUAUAGCUUGACACUGAACAUUGAGCCUUGAUGUGUAGGAUAGGUGGGAGGCUUUGAAGCGUGGACGCCAGUCUGCGUGGAGCCAACCUUGAAAUACCACCCUUUAAUGUUUGAUGUUCUAACGUUGGCCCCUGACCGGGGUUGCGGACAGUGUCUGGUGGGUAGUUUGACUGGGGCGGUCUCCUCCCAAAGCGUAACGGAGGAGCACGAAGGUUAGCUAAUCCUGGUCGGACAUCAGGAGGUUAGUGCAAUGGCAUAAGCUAGCUUGACUGCGAGCGUGACGGCGCGAGCAGGUGCGAAAGCAGGUCAUAGUGAUCCGGUGGUUCUGAAUGGAAGGGCCAUCGCUCAACGGAUAAAAGGUACUCCGGGGAUAACAGGCUGAUACCGCCCAAGAGUUCAUAUCGACGGCGGUGUUUGGCACCUCGAUGUCGGCUCAUCACAUCCUGGGGCUGAAGUAGGUCCCAAGGGUAUGGCUGUUCGCCAUUUAAAGUGGUACGCGAGCUGGGUUUAGAACGUCGUGAGACAGUUCGGUCCCUAUCUGCCGUGGGCGCUGGAGAAUUGAGGGGGGCUGCUCCUAGUACGAGAGGACCGGAGUGGACGCAUCACUGGUGUUCGGGUUGUCAUGCCAAUGGCACUGCCCGGUAGCUAAAUGCGGAAGAGAUAAGUGCUGAAAGCAUCUAAGCACGAAACUUGCCCCGAGAUGAGUUCUCCCUGAGACUU
This 1579-nucleotide ribosomal RNA is filed under the name Klebsiella pneumoniae. RNAcentral describes it as "partial 23S ribosomal RNA". It matches the Rfam family "Bacterial large subunit ribosomal RNA", at positions 1260 to 2823 of the family's 2925-position model. Lineage: Bacteria; Pseudomonadati; Pseudomonadota; Gammaproteobacteria; Enterobacterales; Enterobacteriaceae. The record is from RNAcentral.